RNAcentral lists this transfer RNA (86 nucleotides) under Candidatus Ruthenibacterium avium. RNAcentral's name for it is "tRNA-Tyr". It matches the Rfam family "tRNA". From Rfam's summary of the family: Transfer RNA (tRNA) molecules are approximately 80 nucleotides in length. RNAcentral also lists the same sequence under 1 other name. The record is from RNAcentral. Lineage: Bacteria; Bacillati; Bacillota; Clostridia; Eubacteriales; Oscillospiraceae.
GGGAGAAUUCCCGAGUGGCCAAUGGGGGCAGACUGUAAAUCUGUUGCGUAAUCGCUUCGAUGGUUCGAAUCCAUCUUCUCCCACCA